GUGGCUAUAGUAUAAAGGCUAGUACAUCAGAUUGUGGCUCUGAAAAUCCGGAUUCGAUUCCCGGUAGUCACCCCA
Molecule: transfer RNA, 75 nt
Filed under: Candidatus Blautia merdigallinarum
Lineage: Bacteria; Bacillati; Bacillota; Clostridia; Lachnospirales; Lachnospiraceae
Description: tRNA-His
Rfam family: tRNA
About the family: Transfer RNA (tRNA) molecules are approximately 80 nucleotides in length.
Source: RNAcentral